RNAcentral lists this ribosomal RNA (403 nucleotides) under bacterium. Its description in RNAcentral is "partial 16S ribosomal RNA". It matches the Rfam family "Bacterial small subunit ribosomal RNA", at positions 355 to 776 of the family's 1533-position model. The record is from RNAcentral.
UGGGGAAUAUUGCACAAUGGGGGAAACCCUGAUGCAGCGACGCCGCGUGAACGAAGAAGGUAUUCGUAUCGUAAAGUUCUGUCCUAUGGGAAGAUAAUGACAGUACCAUAGAAGAAAGCCCCGGCUAAAUACGUGCCAGCAGCCGCGGUAAUACGUAUGGAGCGAGCGUUGUCCGGAAUUAUUGGGCGUAAAGGGUACGCAGGCGGUUUAAUAAGUCGAAUGUUAAAGAUCGGGGCUCAACCCCGUAAAGCAUUGGAAACUGAUAAACUUGAGUAGUAGAGAGGAAAGUGGAAUUCCUAGUGUAGUGGUGAAAUACGUAGAUAUUAGGAGGAAUACCAGUAGCGAGGGCGACUUUCAGGACACAAACUGACGCUGAGGUACGAAAGCGUGGGGAGCAAACAGG